This 481-nucleotide ribosomal RNA is filed under the name uncultured bacterium. Its description in RNAcentral is "partial 16S ribosomal RNA". It matches the Rfam family "Bacterial small subunit ribosomal RNA", at positions 28 to 507 of the family's 1533-position model. The record is from RNAcentral.
GAUGAACGCUGGCGGCGUGCUUAACACAUGCAAGUCGAACGAAGCACUUUAUUUGAUUUCCUUCGGGACUGAUUAUUUUAUGACUGAGUGGCGGACGGGUGAGUAACGCGUGGGUAACCUGCCUUGUACAGGGGGAUAACAGUUGGAAACGGCUGCUAAUACCGCAUAAGCGCACGGCAUCGCAUGAUGCAGUGUGAAAAACUCCGGUGGUAUAAGAUGGACCCGCGUUGGAUUAGCUAGUUGGUGAGGUAACGGCCCACCAAGGCGACGAUCCAUAGCCGACCUGAGAGGGUGACCGGCCACAUUGGGACUGAGACACGGCCCAAACUCCUACGGGAGGCAGCAGUGGGGAAUAUUGCACAAUGGGCGAAAGCCUGAUGCAGCGACGCCGCGUGAGCGAAGAAGUAUUUCGGUAUGUAAAGCUCUAUCAGCAGGGAAGAUAAUGACGGUACCUGACUAAGAAGCACCGGCUAAAUACGUG